UUAGCAAACAACUGGAUCCUUCUAGAGCUCGGGAGGCCUGGCCCCUUCCUUCUUAGUGGUGGCUGAGCUCCUGUCUUCAGAGCUGCCCGGAGGAGGGCCCUGCCUGAUUUCUGCAGGUCUCCCAGUGAGACCCCGCCCAGCCUGGCACUGAGGAGGUGCCCCAGAUGAAUUUAUUGAUGGGUAAACAAGAGCAGGGCAGGAACUGUGCUCAGGCUCCCAACCACGACGUUGACUCGACAGCCGACCAGAGUCAGGAGUUGAAGGCACCAACGCCAUUGUCCUUAAGGAGAAGAAAUGACCCUGGUGGAUACAACGAGAAGACAGCUGUCUGUGAACCAGGAAGAGGGCCUUCACCGAGAACCUGCCCAUGCUGCUACCCUGAUCUUGGACGUCCAGGCUCCAGAUCUGCGAGGAAUAAAUGUCUGCUGUUUAAGCCCCCCAGCCUGUGGUGUACUGGUAUCACGGGUGGCGCUGACUAUGACACAGAGACUGGGGGUCCAUUUGGUGGGAAUGUCAUUGCAUCCGUUGGGGAAUGGGAGGG
Eubalaena glacialis (North Atlantic right whale) is the source of this 541-nucleotide long non-coding RNA. RefSeq lists it as uncharacterized. The record is from RefSeq and is a predicted model, not a curated record. The transcript is spliced from 4 exons. Lineage: Eukaryota; Metazoa; Chordata; Mammalia; Artiodactyla; Balaenidae.